Molecule: ribosomal RNA, 497 nt
Filed under: uncultured bacterium
Lineage: Bacteria
Description: partial 16S ribosomal RNA
Rfam family: Bacterial small subunit ribosomal RNA
Source: RNAcentral
GAUGAACGCUGGCGGCGUGCCUAAUACAUGCAAGUCGAGCGAACAGACGAGGAGCUUGCUCCUCUGACGUUAGCGGCGGACGGGUGAGUAACACGUGGAUAACCUACCUAUAAGACUGGGAUAACUUCGGGAAACCGGAGCUAAUACCGGAUAAUAUAUUGAACCGCAUGGUUCAAUAGUGAAAGACGGUUUUGCUGUCACUUAUAGAUGGAUCCGCGCCGCAUUAGCUAGUUGGUAAGGUAACGGCUUACCAAGGCAACGAUGGGUAGCCGACCUGAGAGGGUGAUCGGCCACACUGUAACUGAGACACGGUCCAGACUCCUACGGGAGGCAGCAGUAGGGAAUCUUCCGCAAUGGGCGAAAGCCUGACGGAGCAACGCCGCGUGAGUGAUGAAGGUCUUCGGAUCGUAAAACUCUGUUAUUAGGGAAGAACAAAUGUGUAAGUAACUAUGCACGUCUUGACGGUACCUAAUCAGAAAGCCACGGCUAACUACGUG